AGGGAUGUAGUGCAGCUUGGUAGCGCGUUUGUUUCGAAUACAAAAUGUCACGGGUUCAAAUCUUGUCAUCCCAA
Molecule: transfer RNA, 74 nt
Filed under: Helianthus annuus (common sunflower)
Lineage: Eukaryota; Viridiplantae; Streptophyta; Magnoliopsida; Asterales; Asteraceae
Rfam family: tRNA
About the family: Transfer RNA (tRNA) molecules are approximately 80 nucleotides in length. Their secondary structure includes four short double-helical elements and three loops (D, anti-codon, and T loops).
Source: Rfam by way of RNAcentral